RNAcentral lists this ribosomal RNA (590 nucleotides) under uncultured bacterium. RNAcentral describes it as "partial 16S ribosomal RNA". It matches the Rfam family "Bacterial small subunit ribosomal RNA", at positions 355 to 939 of the family's 1533-position model. The record is from RNAcentral.
UGGGGAAUCUUCCGCAAUGGACGAAAGUCUGACGGAGCAACACCGCGUGUAUGAUGAAGGCCUUCGGAUUGUAAAGUACUGUCAUUGGGGAAGAACGGUUUUCUUGAAAAGAUUGAGAAGACAUGACGGUACCCAAGGAGGAAGCCCCGGCUAACUACGUGCCAGCAGCCGCGGUAAUACGUAGGGGGCAAGCGUUGUCCGGAAUUAUUGGGCGUAAAGGGCGCGUAGGCGGGCUUUUAAGUCCGGUGUGAAAGAUCAGGGCUCAACCCUGAGAGUGCAUCGGAAACUGGAGGCCUUGAGGACAGGAGAGGAAAGUGGAAUUCCACGUGUAGCGGUGAAAUGCGUAGAUAUGUGGAGGAACACCAGUGGCGAAGGCGACUUUCUGGACUGUAACUGACGCUGAGGCGCGAAAGCGUGGGGAGCAAACAGGAUUAGAUACCCUGGUAGUCCACGCCGUAAACGAUGAGUGCUAGGUGUAGAGGGUAUCGACCCCUUCUGUGCCGCAGUUAACACAAUAAGCACUCCGCCUGGGGAGUACGGCCGCAAGGUUGAAACUCAAAUGAAUUGACGGGGGUCAUAGCUGUUUUCCU